GUGAUGAGUCGCUCCACCGCGGCGCCGCAAGGCGACGAGGAAAGUCCGGGCAACGCAGAGCACCCUGCUUCCUAACGGGAAGGAUGUGCCGUAAGGUGCAGACAGCCAGUGCCACAGAAAACUACCGCCAGACGGUGAAAUGGUGUGUUGGUGAAAUAGUGAGUUGCUGUUCAAUCUGCGCAAGCGGAACGAUAAACUCACCAUUUCACAAUUUCACCACCUCACCUUUGGUAAGGGUGAAAAGGUGCGGUAAGAGCGCACCAGCGGGCGGGUGACCGAUCCGGCUGGGUAAACCUCAGGGGUUGAAAGACCAAAUAAGCGGGCACGCCGGCCUUCGGGCUGGCACCGGGCGGCUCGUCCGGCGUCCGUGGGUAGGUUGAUGGAGCCUUUCCGCGAGGACUGGCCUAGAUAAAUGGUGGAGACGUUGCCUUUCGGGGCAGCGUACAAAACCCGGCUUACAGACUUGUCACCCAC
RNAcentral lists this RNase P RNA (474 nucleotides) under Hymenobacter norwichensis. RNAcentral's name for it is "RNase P RNA component class A". It matches the Rfam family "Bacterial RNase P class A". From Rfam's summary of the family: Ribonuclease P (RNase P) is a ubiquitous endoribonuclease, found in archaea, bacteria and eukarya as well as chloroplasts and mitochondria. Its best characterised activity is the generation of mature 5'-ends of tRNAs by cleaving the 5'-leader elements of precursor-tRNAs. RNAcentral also lists the same sequence under 1 other name. The record is from RNAcentral. Lineage: Bacteria; Pseudomonadati; Bacteroidota; Cytophagia; Cytophagales; Hymenobacteraceae.